CAAUGACUGAUGAUGAGAAAUAGUAUGUCUUAUGGGAAUGUCUUAGCGAGUCAGAGGCGGUGAGAGUCUGAUACAAAUCUCUUAGACAGAAUGGUUCUCAGAGGUGUGAUCCGAAAGCUGUUACAGUUAGUAGGUGAUCCGGGGGUUUCCCGUUACAGAGACAAGGGUAUCGAGAAAAUUUUUCUCCGUACCUGAUAGAUUAGAGGUAUUUGGUGGUUUGUUUGCAUAAGUUCGAUCAGCAGUGAUUGGAUUUGUAAAAAAAAUUACCCUAUACGAAUUAAGGUGGUACCACGGAGCAUUCCGUCCUUUUA
RNAcentral lists this non-coding RNA (311 nucleotides) under Desulfosporosinus lacus. RNAcentral's name for it is "T-box sequence". It matches the Rfam family "T-box leader". From Rfam's summary of the family: Uncharged tRNA acts as the effector for transcription antitermination of genes in the T-box leader family. T-boxes are found upstream of many aminoacyl-tRNA synthetase genes and some amino acid biosynthetic genes usually in Gram-positive bacteria. Lineage: Bacteria; Bacillati; Bacillota; Clostridia; Eubacteriales; Desulfitobacteriaceae. The record is from RNAcentral.